AAUAACCUGCCGCGUUCGCUACCGGCCAUGUCUUUCGCUAGGGGUUUUGUUCCGUUUUGCUCUGCCCGCUGCUGUUAAAGUGUUAUAGACAUUGUCUUAUUUCCCACGAUUUUUUAUUCUCCGACCUGGCCUCCCCGCACUAUUGCAGAAAUGCUAGUGCUAUACCAACGGACGGCGUAGGACUUCAGAUGGGGAUGAGCGGCACAAUCUCCAGGGGCUUCCGAGAUGUCUUGGGUGUUGCGGCCUGUGCUCCUGUAAAAAGGCAGUGGAAUUGCUUUCUUGCUCUCUCCCCAGGACAGAGUUUGGUUUUGCUUUUAGAAUAA
This 323-nucleotide long non-coding RNA is filed under the name Struthio camelus australis. RNAcentral's name for it is "lncRNA (ENSSCUG00000004066.1)". Lineage: Eukaryota; Metazoa; Chordata; Aves; Struthioniformes; Struthionidae. The record is from RNAcentral.